CGGCUGUAGCAACAUCCAACGCCUCAGAAGUUAACUGGCCGGUUAUUGUCAAACCUCCGUCGACAAAUCUGCUUACCGAACUUCUUACAUUC
This is a small nucleolar RNA of Rhodamnia argentea, 92 nucleotides long. RefSeq annotates it as small nucleolar RNA snoR109. NCBI's taxonomy places the organism in Eukaryota, Viridiplantae, Streptophyta, Magnoliopsida, Myrtales, Myrtaceae. The transcript has a single exon. The record is from RefSeq and is a predicted model, not a curated record.